Non-coding RNA from Peromyscus maniculatus bairdii (prairie deer mouse), 592 nucleotides. Lineage: Eukaryota; Metazoa; Chordata; Mammalia; Rodentia; Cricetidae. The record is from RefSeq and is a predicted model, not a curated record.
GAAAGACACAGGGAUCGCUCAACAACAGAGAAAUGGAUGAGAUCGCAAACUGGACGAGAGGGAAGGAUGUGGCUGUAGAGGAUUUGAAAAACACAGGUAACUUUAGACACCUUCUGGCAACUGAAUUGGCAGAGUCUUCCUAUAAAUGCUCUUCCUAAGCACCCUUUAUAAAAAACAGUAAACAAUCAUGGGCCUGAUGAUUUGCUUCACUAUGAAAAGAAUAUGAUCCAUGGCAAAAUUUAGAACAGAAAAAUUAUAAAAUGUACAGAAAAGAGAUAUAGACCAAGGGUUCUACAAAUGUGCUCCAGAAACACAAGACAUAUUCUGAGACUCACAAGAAAAGUGUAGCCUUCACUCCUCAUCAAGUAAAUUUCUCUUUGCAUCAGAUGGAGACCACUACAGAAAACCACAACCAAUCAAAAUGCAAAUUGUAGAGCCCAGUCCCAGUGGAUACAUCUACAAAGCAACACCUGACCCUAAGGCUGAGAGAACACUGUGAAAGACUGUGUGGGAUGACAGUAAGAACCAGAGGACCAGGAAGUCUGUUGUGAGGUUGUGUCUCCUAGUCACACCAGCAGCUGUACCUGUAAAA